CAAGUCGAGGGGCAGCGGGAUUGAAGCUUGCUUCAAUUGCCGGCGACCGGCGCACGGGUGAGUAACGCGUAUCCAACCUUCCGUACACUCAGGGAUAGCCUUUCGAAAGAAAGAUUAAUACCUGAUGGUAUGAUGAGAUUGCAUGAUAGCAUCAUUAAAGAUUUAUCGGUGUACGAUGGGGAUGCGUUCCAUUAGGUAGUAGGCGGGGUAACGGCCCACCUAGCCUACGAUGGAUAGGGGUUCUGAGAGGAAGGUCCCCCACAUUGGAACUGAGACACGGUCCAAACUCCUACGGGAGGCAGCAGUGAGGAAUAUUGGUCAAUGGACGAGAGUCUGAACCAGCCAAGUAGCGUGAAGGAUGAAGGUCUUACGGAUUGUAAACUUCUUUUAUAAGGGAAUAAAACCUCCCACGUGUGGGAGCUUGUAUGUACCUUAUGAAUAAGCAUCGGCUAACUCCGUGCCAGCAGCCGCGGUAAUACGGAGGAUGCGAGCGUUAUCCGGAUUUAUUGGGUUUAAAGGGAGCGCAGACGGGUCGUUAAGUCAGCUGUGAAAGUUUGGGGCUCAACCUUAAAAUUGCAGUUGAUACUGGCGUCCUUGAGUGCGGUUGAGGUGUGCGGAAUUCGUGGUGUAGCGGUGAAAUGCUUAGAUAUCACGAAGAACUCCGAUUGCGAAGGCAGCACACUAAGCCGUAACUGACGUUCAUGCUCGAAAGUGUGGGUAUCAAACAGGAUUAGAUACCCUGGUAGUCCACACGGUAAACGAUGGAUACUCGCUGUUGGCGAUAUACGGUCAGCGGCCUAGCGAAAGCGUUAAGUAUCCCACCUGGGGAGUACGCCGGCA
This 840-nucleotide ribosomal RNA is filed under the name uncultured bacterium. Its description in RNAcentral is "bacterial SSU rRNA". It matches the Rfam family "Bacterial small subunit ribosomal RNA", at positions 58 to 890 of the family's 1533-position model. The record is from RNAcentral.